AGAGUUUGAUCCUGGCUCAGGACGAACGCUGGCGGCGUGCCUAACACAUGCAAGUUGAGCGGAGAUAUAUGGAGCUUGCUUUAUAUAACUUAGCAGCGAACGGGUGAGUAACACGUAGAUAAUCUAUCCUAUACUGGGGGAUAGCCCGAUGAAAGUUGGAUUAAUACCGCAUAUAGCUAUAUAGUUGCAUGAUUAUGUAGUGAAAGAUUUAUUGGUAUAGGAGGAGUCUGCGGCACAUUAGCUAGUAGGUGAGGUAAAGGCUUACCUAGGCGACGAUGUGUAGCCGGUCUGAGAGGAUGAACGGCCACAAUGGAACUGAGACACGGUCCAUACUCCUACGGGAGGCAGCAGUGGGGAAUAUUGCACAAUGGGGGAAACCCUGAUGCAGCAACGCCGCGUGAGUGAAGAAGGUUUUCGGAUUGUAAAGCUCUGUUAGCAGGGAAGAGGAAGGACGGUACCUGC
RNAcentral lists this ribosomal RNA (462 nucleotides) under uncultured segmented filamentous bacterium. RNAcentral describes it as "bacterial SSU rRNA". It matches the Rfam family "Bacterial small subunit ribosomal RNA", at positions 8 to 482 of the family's 1533-position model. The record is from RNAcentral. Lineage: Bacteria; Pseudomonadati; Pseudomonadota; Alphaproteobacteria.